GUCUUUUUGAGUUAUUUUUAAAGUCUGACCUGCCCACUGAAUUUUUUAAAUGGCCGCAGUAUUCUAACUGUGCAAAGGUAGCAUAAUCAUUAGUCUUUUAAUUGAAGGCUGGUAUGAACGGUUGGACGAGGUAUAAGCUGUUUCAUGUAAAUUUGUAUUAGAAUUUUAUAUUUUAGUCAAAAAGCUAAAAUGUAGUUAAAAGACGAGAAGACCCUAUAAAUCUUUAUAUUUUAUAUAAUUUAAGUUUUUUUGAUUUAUUUUAUUUUUAUUAUAUUGAAUAUUUUGUUGGGGUGAUAUUAAAAUUUGAUGAACUUUUAAUUGUUUUAAGUCAUUAAUUUAUGAAUUAUUGAUCCGUUAUUAGUGAUUAUAAGAUUAAGUUACUUUAGGGAUAACAGCGUAAUUUUUUUGGAGAGUUCUUAUCGAUAAAAAAGUUUGCGACCUCGAUGUUGGAUUAAGAUAUAAUUUUAGGUGUAGCCGCUUAAAUGUUAAGUCUGUUCGACUUUUAAAUUCUU
Molecule: ribosomal RNA, 512 nt
Filed under: Dacus humeralis
Lineage: Eukaryota; Metazoa; Arthropoda; Insecta; Diptera; Tephritidae
Description: partial 16S ribosomal RNA
Rfam family: Bacterial large subunit ribosomal RNA
Source: RNAcentral